This 497-nucleotide long non-coding RNA is filed under the name Musa acuminata (dwarf banana). Its description in RNAcentral is "long non-coding RNA (MACU_LNC008160)". The record is from RNAcentral. Lineage: Eukaryota; Viridiplantae; Streptophyta; Magnoliopsida; Zingiberales; Musaceae.
UCAAAUAUUACCUCCUAAUUCAACACGAAAUAACCGAAUACUAUUUACUUUUUAUUCUUGAAGAUUCAAAUAUUACUUGAUUAUUAUGAGUUUUCAACAUAAUCAAGCAGUCAAAAUCUAAUCAAUAAAUGAAGCCCACUAAUCUAUAGAGUGUUUUUGUUAUUUAGCAGGCACUACUCUUCCUACAUGAUUAAUGUAACAAAUGAGUACUAUGGACUUGAAUAAUAUAAUGAAUAUCCCAUGGCCUAGAGGGAUACAUUUAUAUAUGUUUAAACUUCCUUGAGAUUUUGUAGUAGCUAAAGGCUCUUGAUGUGAUCGCCAUGUUUAUUUUUGAAUAAUCUGAUCAUACUUGUUUGAGGCUAAGGCAGAGAGAUAAGAAAAUAAAACUUCACAACUUACCUAUAAAGGCCUUAUUCUUGUGAAAGAUCUAAUGUUCUCACAUAAAUUCACUGACUAACUUAUGACCAUAAACCAUAAUGUCAUGUCUGCAAAGCACC